CAUAUGGAUGAGGACAGCUGCAUAAAGAAGUACCAAUCUCUAACUGUGGAGGGUACCUGUGGAAGAGGUACACCCAGGAAGAUAUAGGAAUGCGACGAGGUGGUGAAGCAUGACCUUCAAAUGUUGGGUCUCAUGGAAGGGAUGACAAGUGAUUGUGACUUUUGUUGAUUUGCUGUGCUUGAGAACACUCUUCAAACCAAGUGAAAUUGGAGUUGUGCCUGGUAUCUGUGACAUGUAACAACAUUUGUAUAGUGACACAUAAAAGUACUCGUGUCAGUGAGACGUAAGAGCACCUGUGCCAGUGACAUGUAAGAGCACCCGUGCCAGUGACACGUAAAAGCACCCUUGCCCGUGACAAAUAACAGCACCUAUGCCCGUGACACGUAAAAGCACCCAUGCCAGUGACACAUAAAAGCAACCAUGCUGGUGACGCGUAAAAAGCGCCCACUAUAUUCUCGGAGUGGUUGGCGUUAGGAAGGUCAUUCAGUUAUAGAAACCAAGCCAAAAAUCAGACUGGAACCUAGUGCAUCUCUCCAGCUUACCAGUUCCAGUCAAAGCGUUUAACCCAUGGGAAACAGACGUUAGAUGAUGAUGAUCUUAUUAUAAGAUAUUAGAAUAAUAUGUUCUUCAACUAGAAUAUUGAAGGGUCAAUGUCAACUAAAGGUGUCAAACAUCUGUAACUAAAAUCAGGUCAAUUGGAAUACAUUUAUGUAUGCUCCUGACUUUGUUUCUUCAUAACUUUCAGGAAAAAUAGAUAUUUUUCUUCAUGAAAUUUACUACACACCUCUCCGGUGGCGUAAAUUUCGAUUAUAACGGAAAUUGUUGUGAAGAAUUUUACGGAUGGCGGGGAGAUGAGGAGUUGCAGAACAUUCACACGAGUCAAACUUGUUUCCUCAUAACUUGUAGAAAAAUAAGUAUUUUUAAAUGAAAUUUUUCAUAAAUACCCUUUAGAUGGUGUCGAAUAGAAAUGUAUCGAAGUUUUAUGAGAAAAAAGAAAAGAAAAAAAAUUGUUAGGUGCACACUCAGUCAUACUGACAUCGGAAUAAAAUGGAAAUUGAAAUUUAAAAAAAAAUAUGUAAUGUGUGUCUACAUGUGCGCGAUACUAUCACCAAUUAUUUAAAAUAAAAACAAAACCCAUCAAAUACCGUUAUAGUCACAAUCUAGAUAUUUGUAGAAAAUUUCAUUAAAAAAUAGGGAUUUUCCCGAAAGUUAUGAAGGAAAAGAGUUCCAUGGGGUGGGGCAUACUUGUGUAGGUAUGCUCUUGAUUUAAUAGACAUCUAUAAACAUAGACUUUUACCUAGAGAAAAUAAAAACAUAAAAAUAGUUCCAUGUAAAUAUCAUCGAUUUAUAUUGAAAUUGAUUCCCAUGUAACAUAGCAUAGUAACCUUAUAUCUUCUGUUCCUCUAUAAAUCAAAUGUUUAAUUUCAUUUUUCAUUUUAAUAUAGAGUUAAGACAUCUGACAUAUUUUCGAGAUUCUACAUAAUUUUCUCUAAAAUGGCAGUCCCAACAGUAACUGUUGCAUUUACACUGAUCUUUGAUGUUUUGUAGCUAACAUUUUUAUUAUAAUCUGCACUAUGUGUAACUUAGCUUGAAGUAAUCGUCUUUUUUCUGAUUACACUAUUUUGUUCGUGUAGAUUUAUUAUAUUAGAUAUUGACGGAAAACUACUGCCAACACAAUCACAGGUUACAUAGUUUAGAGGACGUUAUUUCGUGAAUUCUCACACCGGAGUAUAUUCUAUAACUAACAUUCAUAAAAAAAAUAUUACAAGGAUGAGUUUUUCAAUUUUUAUUUUCUGUAUUUGAACUUUUAAAUAGUAAAAUAUAUAAACAUUCAACUUUCAUCAUAAAGUAUUAAUAGUAUUAAUUAUAUUUGAUCUACUUUUUUAAAUGACUUACCAAAAUAUAACAGAAAACAAUACAUCACGAAAAUAAAUAUCGAAUUUUUUAUUUCGUCGAUUUAUUGUUUCACACUCCCGUUGGUAGUUAGCAGUUUGUAUAAAUUAUACAGUAAAAUAUACUAUACGUUGUUAUAAAAAAUGUAAUGCUUUGAUUUAUUUAGUUGUGUUCUGAAAUAUACACCCACGUCGUAAUUGCCAUUUUGUAUAUCAGGUUACAAAGAGAACUAAUUUUAAUAAUUAACUUUUGGAUGAUUAAAGAAAAUACAAUUUAUUAUUAUAAUUUUUGCACUGGCGGUAGAAAAUUAUCAGUUUUAAUUGCUGCCAUACCCAAUUUAAUUAUACACCCAUUUCUAGAUUACGCAGAACUCUGGUUUCAAGUAAUACUUUUUUAAGACGAAUGUACCAUAAAGACGUAGAAAAUAUAAAACCAGAAAGUAACUUAAUAAAUAAGAAUUGGGUUUAUUUUGAAAAGCAUAUAGCAACAAAUAACUUCAAUUAAUAAUUUUAUUACAGAGGCACAAAGGAUUUAAAUUUAAUGGGAAGGUAAGGGUGAAUGACGUUUCAAAAAUGCCAUUUACCGUCAUCAAUAUGAAUAUACAUAAUUCUGAUGACAAUCAUAUUUUUUAAUAUUACGCUAUAAUAAACGAAUUAUAUUGUACUAGUCCGACACCCGUGACUUUGCUGAUGGUAGAUGGUAAAAUUUUUAGUUUAAAUUUUGUUGUGUCUAGGGAAAUUCAUUAUGCCAAUAUUAACACACGCACUGGUUUAAUUCCACUCCUUUAUUAUUAAAUUGGUUAAAUAUCCAUCUAACUAGUCGAUUGUUUGUUUAAUUUUAGUUUAAAGUUUGUCUGUUUAAAAGAUACACACACACAAUAUAUAUAUAUAUAUAUAUAUAUUACUAACUUCAAUAGAUUUAAACAAAAUAGCAACACCAAGAAUCGAAACUGGGAUGGAAGCGAUUGUUUGUGAAGUAUAAUUGCGUCACACUGUAACCCAUGACCUUUAGAAAUGUAUUUCUAUAUGUCCUUAUAAGGAAAUAGCAGCUUGGCAUAGUGUGACUAUUUCCGUCAUGCGGAUUUUGGUCGACCGUACAUCACCAGUUUAAAUAUAAUCUUCCGCCAGUAAUAUUUUAUACUUACAAAGUAUAUUAUUUAAUACUAAAACUCAAGAAAUACUCAUAUUACAUUAUUUAUUAUAUUUUGAAUUAUUUUAUACUAUACUAUAUAAUUAAGUCUGAAUAAAAUUGCUUUUUAAGGGGAACUAUAUUAUGCGCAUGAUCUCAGUGAUCAGUCUCGUAGUAAUAAGAAAUUCUUAUUGUGACGCACAGUUUGGAGAAAUUGCUCAUUCUGAAUGGAUGCUCGGAAAAUUUUAUCGUAAAUUUGGUUUGCUAUUUUCACUGUCUGGUAAGACAAAAAUGUAUUCUGAUCUAUUAACUUUAAUAAAACACUUUGUUCUUAAAAUUAGCUUUGUUUUGAUUGUUUUUUAAAGCUUUACUCACUUCUUCACAGUUUUUAUUUCUUAUCUAGCGGAUUAUGCUGAUGUAGUCUGCGCCAUCUUGAAAACCGAAGAAAUUUGAUUAUGCUCUCAACUGAAAUUGCAAACUACUUGUGGGUUUCUUUCUUCUGGGUAAGCGAAGUCAAGUAGUUGACCCUAUAAGUAACCACUUAAUAUUUAGUUUUGUUUACGUAUAAGAAUUAAAUAAAAUUUUGAAAUUUCUUGCUCUUAAGUUCUUAAAAUAAAAAUAACUUUCUUGGUUCCUCGCUGUUAAAUUUUCUUUUCACAGUUCAACGGCUGAAAUAGAAAUUCUUGCCAGUUUGCUGUCUUGGUUUUGUCGUCAUGUAGGGAAUAAUAUAUACAUAUAAAAAGAAAAAAAGGACGCUAAGGUUGGCUUUUCAUUGCCUCAUUAUUACAAUUAAAAAGAAUUGUGAGAUAACGUUAAAUUUAUAUUUGCAUAACUUAUUCACUUGUAACCAAAAAAAAAGGUGGGGAAGAAAACCCCGCAUUACUUUUUAAUGCUUAGGAUUAGCAAAUUAGACUACCAAACAUGAUUAUUUGCCACACUUUUAUAACCUUUCUUUUCAGUUAAUGACUGGACUAAAUUCCUAAUUAUAUACAUCGUUUUGCCUGACCCAGAUUCCUGCAUACAGAUAUCCUACUGGAUUUAAAGGUUGGCUUUUCAUUGCCUUUUCAGAAAUUGACAUUAAAAAAAAAACAAGAUAAUCCCCUUUGGUAAAUUAAUUUUUCUACAGUUGAUUGUUGCUAACUUGGUUUUAAGUCUAUCCCAGCUACACAACUUCAGUGCUGGUUUCGUUAUUUUGUCUAGUUGAGGCAUGUAGAGCCAUGCUGUUUCGUUUGUCGGGAACAGCAGAGAAGUUGAAUACGUUUAAAAUUAUAACACAUUCGUUUUUAUUUUAAAUUUUUCAACUCUAUUAAUUGGUGUAUACGUUUUUGUGUAAACAUUGUUUCAGCUAGUAGCAAUUUUCCAAGUUGCUAUCGCUUUGUAGUAAGAAGCCUUUGUGUUCCUAAAGGAUCCUAAAGUUCGAUAUGGAGGUAAUUAUAAGAUAUUUUGUUUCUGAAUCCCCAUCAAUAGCUUUUUUCAUGGCAUUCAUUUGUAAGUUUAUUGUAAAAUGUGUAUUAAAUAUAACCACAAAAAUUACAAAAAAAUUCGGUCUCCUUUUUUUCGAUUUGGUCUUGAAAACAUGGCAUUACUGUACAUCACGUGUAUCAUUUUAAUAGAAACUUUUGAUUCCUUAUUAACUGAGUUUAAAAUAGACCCAGAAAUGACCCCCCCCAAAAAAAAAAAAUUACUGGAAUGAAUGUAAAACAAUGUGUGGGAAACGAAUAUGAAAAAAUGCGUUUUUUUUUUCAAUGAAAUUUUAUAGAAAUACUCUUCAAACAGCAUACAUUACGAUUAUAAAGCAAUUUGUGGGGAAAAUCUAUUUCAAGGGGGCGUGAGGCGCGUCAAUAUCAACCAGUCGAGAAGGCAAAUGUAACGGUUAAAAAAAAAAAAAAAAAUUACACACAUACCAACUUGAAAAGAAAUCAAGCAAUCUUACGACGUCGUUUUCCUCUUUCCCUCCAACACUUUACGGAAAAUGCCGAUGUGAUGUAAAUAAACACAUGGUUUAUGACAGUGUAAAGUAUUUGUCAAAGAACUGGCUCCAUGUUUAUUUGGUCAAUAUAAAGAUUUUCGCUCGUGAAGAGAAAAAAAAAAAACCCAGCCUGCUGGGUGUUAAAAGAAGUGUAGAAAACGACUAUGAAAAAAAUUUGCGCUAACGACCCGAGGGGGUGGGGAAGACUUUCGGAAAAUUCACAAGAUAAGAUUUUUCCGUCAUGAUUUUCGGUAUAUACUUGUUAACGCCCAGCAGGCUGGUUUAUUUUAUUUUUUUCUUCACGGGUGCAGAUCUUUAUAGUGACCCAUUUGGUGUGCUGGUGGAAUAGCAGCUUGUGCAGGAAAGAUGGCAAUCUGCCUUUCAAACACACUUUUUAGCAACUGAGACCCGAGAGAAUGACUAGGUUGGUAGGAUCCGGCUGUUGGAAAAUAUAAUGGGAGAAAUGAAAUGCCAAAAAGGCAAUCUUUCGAUGUAGAUAUUUUGUCAUUCCUUCCCAGCUGUUUUAAUUUUACGAAAUACCAUCAAAACAGCUGGGAAGGAAAGACUUCCGCCCGUGACAGAUAAAGGUAGCUAUAUCGAAAGAAUGGGACCGUCUGGUUUUCCUCACUUCAGAGUAUUUUUUGUUAACGGAGAUAUUCACACAUAUUUCAGGAGAUAGUUAAAUGUUGAUACUCGCGGUGAUAUACAGUAAUGACCGUGAAAACUAUUAGCAUGUUUCUGAGACUAUUUUUCAGGCAUGUAUUUUCUUUGAAUCUAUUUUAAAGUUUAGCGUGAUAACUCGUUUUAGUGCCUAUGGGAGAUUGCCAAGGUUUGUCUCGUUUCUGGUUUACAUGAAAUUUCAGUACUUGUUGCUUGUGACUAAACUUACAGUGGGAGUAUAUUUUUGUAAACAUCUUUUUGAAUAUCAUAAAAGCACUAAUACGAGGCUAUCAAAAAGAACUUUCUGAAAUUUUUAAUUUGAAGCGCAAGUACUCUACUGAUGAGUACCUAUCACCGAGAUCCGCCUGUAAAAUAUAACGUGUGAAAGCCAAAUUGUGAUAGGAUCUUGGAAUGUUUUCACUUUAACAAACUUUUUCCAUUCAGUCACGCUCAUGAAUAUUUGGCAGUUUUUAAUAAAUGACAUACUCACGUAUAACAAGCCUAGUAUACAAUUUAGUAUAUUCAAUUUAUACCCAAGUGACAAAGCCAAGUUUUUAAUUCUUCGUCUUGAAUCGUACUUGCGCUUUUUAUGACAUGUUGAUGACACGUCUUCCCGAUUAAGGAUGAAGUCAUAACAUUACUUCAUUCCGGCUUCCUCAGUUUUUUCUUUUCAAGGAUAUUGGGGUGGUUUGCCAUUGCCUUCCCCUUUUUAAUUACUGAUAGAAAUUUCUCGGGAAAUUCGUGACAACGGUUAAGCACUGAUUACUGGUUAACCAAUACUGAGAAAAACUGUCCUAUUUACGUUCCCACUAAUAUUGCUCAGAACUUAUUUUUGGUAAUUCUAAAGAUUUCGAUUAAGUGAUUGUUUUCAACAGAUUGGACUUUUCCUCAUUCUAAGUAAUGAGACUUCUCGUAAAUAAAGUAAGUUGGAAUAAUACACAUCCUAGAAAAUUUAGAAUUUUUUUUCUAAAACUUUUGAGUUAUUUUUUUUAACUAUCACACUCAUCUACAUGAAAGCAAGCAACAAUGAGUGAAAUUGUGUAUUCAAAUCGUGAUUAUUUUAUUUCCAAUUGUCUUAUAAAUAUACGUGAGUUUUAAUCUUGGAAAUUUUUGUUUGAACCAUCAUGUUCAAAGUCAGGCAGCACUAUUAUCUUCCAGGACCCUAUGAAAGUGUAUUCUCUGAGGUGAAAAGUGGGUGUUAUUACAAAUGAUAUCUAAUUAUUCAACUCGACGCAAGAAGGCUUCACAUCCUUACCUCAAAUAAUGGAUGUAAAUCUAUUGUAAUAUCGGGGUCACUUCUCCAAAUCAAGGGGAGGUAAAUGUGAUAAAAUUCGGUGAUUUCUGCCACUUCAAUUUUUCUAUCAAGCUAAGAUGGUUGACUGAACCACUGUCGCCUCUGAUUUGACAUUCAUUCGGCAACCAAUGAGAUGUAUUAAAACAUUCCUACCAUGCUGUUAGUAUAGCUUACAGGUGUGUUAAAUCUAAUGUUAAGGUAAAGUAAGAUUUGAAACGGGUAGUAAUAACAAAGUCAGAAGAAAAAUGGAAGUCAAUCAUCAUCGUUUAACGUCUGCCUUCCAUGCUAGCAUAGGUUGGACGAUUUGACUGAGGACUGGCGAACCAGAUGGCUACACCAGGCUCCAGUCUGAUUUGGCAGUUUCUACAGCUGGAUGCCCUUCCUAACGCCAACCACUCUGAGAAUAUAGUCGGUGCUUUUACGUGCCACCUGCACAGGAGCCAGUUCAGCGGCACUGGUAACGACCUCGCUUGAAUGUCUUCAUGUGCUAGGAAGGCGACGCUGGUAACGAUCUUGCUCAUUUAAAUUUAUAUGCAUAGAACAAAAUUAGAUGUUAAAUGGUUUCGAUUACUGAUUUUAAAAUUCUUAUAUCUUACUCAUACGGUGCGAGAAAUUGCUAGUUCUGUGUUGCAUUUCUUUUUUUAGCUAAGCAUCAUAUCCUAAAUCUUGAGUAAUUUCCACCAUCUGAUUGAACACAAGUCCAGGUACCUGUGAUCAUUGUCUUACAAAUGGGCAGUUCCCUUUUGUUGUUACUUCUGAUUUUGUUUUUGUUUCACAUUAGCAUUUUUCUUCCUUUUUCCAAGAUAAGAUUUAAUCCAAAGUAACAUUUGUGGUAUUGACUUGAAAGUGUAGCAAUAAAAAAAUAGUGAACAGCAAAUAAAAGAACGCAAUUUUACUUAGUAAUUUACAACCUUACAUCAUUUUCAAACUUUUGUUUGUGGUGGUGAGGAUAUGAAAACCUAAUUAUUGAUGUAUUUGAAUAAUUGACAUUCAUUUGUAAUUACACUCUGAUGUCUUGAUGAGGUAAACACUUUCAGUGGGUUCUGAGAACUUAAUCCUGAUUUAAAAUCUAUUUUGUAUUGCUUUUCAUUUUUUUUUUUGCAAACGAAGCUUUCUACCACAAUGUACAUAAAUCAUAUUUGAGACCUUGAGAUACAAGGUUUUAAAAUUCUUAAGACUUAAUGACUUGUGCAUACAGUGAUAUUACAUAAUUCUGUUCUGGAUUUGCAAUUGUUUGGGAAGGGUGUUCAUGCAUGGGUUGGAUAACUGAUUCCUAACUCAAUACCUCUUCAGGUAGAAGGCUUACUGAAUAUUGACCCUACUAUGAAAAUAUGUGCUGUUCUCUGGACCAGUAAACGGUAAGUAUUAGUGUUUGACCUGUGGCACCUAAAAGAUUACAUAUUAGAAUUGAGUGUAGCAAAGUAGUUUCACAUCCUUGUGAUGUCUUGGAUGAGCAUGAUUGACUUGUGAUAAAUGGUUGUAUUGAGUUGGAUGUGAUUGAUUAUAUGGGGAUUUAGCUAGUAGAUCACAUUUUGUGGCUUUUAUACUUAAUCAUUGGGCUGCUGUAAUAUUAGGACACUGCCUUUAUUGUUUUAUUAUUCAUUAUAUUGACACCAUUGCUUUGAUAAUUCAAUGCAAGGAAAUAUGUAUCCCCUUGGGUGUAAUAAGAUAUUACUAGAGAAAUUUUUAUAGCACACUAAUACACACAGACUGUAAGAAUUGGGUAGGAAUGAAAUUGAACCUGGAACCAUGUGGUUUUGAAGAGGACUCGCACCACAGUUAUACCUGCACCCACGUUUUAUUUGUAAUUAUCACUUUAAUGAUAUGACACUAAAACCAAUGGGGUGGGGUAACUAUCUGCUUAAGUUUUUCUUUCAGCUUUUUUUUUUUUUUUAUAAUUUCAAAAAUGUCAUCUUUAUUGAAGGACCAACCCUAAAGAGCAAAUUAUGCUCUUCAGUGAUCUUCACAUUUCAUCAAGUGACACAUCAAAAGCUUACAUAAGGUAAAAACUGGAAUUGAACUUGCUUCUUCUUUGCUGAAACACAUGAAAUUAGACUUGUUAGUAAAUCUGACAUUUACACUUUUUAGAAACUACCAGGAAUUGCAAUGUAGAGAUGUGCAGGAUAUUUAUUAUAGGGCAAGUUUGCAUUAGGUUUGAAGAUGCUACCAUUAGGAACCUAAUUUUUUCUAUUUGCUUACCUUAUAUUGUAUUUUCACAUCUCUUGAGCCUAAAUACUUCUUCAAUUCAUGUCAUGUGCAUUCAUUUUCAGAAAUCUGUAGUUAAGCUCUGAAAUUUAUCAAUUUUGAAGAGUAUUGGUAAACAAUUUUUACAUUCAGCCAAAACAUAUUUUUAAAUAGAAUUAUUUUUAGAAUUUAGUGUAAUUAUAUUAUGAAGCUAAUUCGACAAACUGAGGCUCUUAAAUAAUCGCAAUUUUGAAUUGGCACAUUAAUAAUUUGGAAUUAAGUGACUGGACAAGAUAUACCAAUUUCUCAUAUGAAACAUUUUUAAAACACUAAGUGUUAAGAUUCUUAACUCAUCAAAUGCAAUUCACCUGUGAAAAGAAGAGAAAAUGGUUUGCUCUAAACCUUACUUUACAUUUAAAUAUUGCAAGCAAUCUAGUUGGAGCAGAGUUGAAGUUUCUGACAUCAGUCUUGACUCAAAAGAUUGAUAAGACAUGAAAAUUGUUCCUAAAUAUCAUUUAUUGCUUUAAUAGUCACCUAUGCUAUGAUAACCUGAACAGGUUUUCAAGUAUACCUCUAAAUUCAUUUGAUGCAAAAUCUGUAGCUAUGCACUUUACAUAUUCAAGUCCACCCUGUAUUUGGUAGCUGGAGUUUUAGAGGAAUCUUCCCAACCAUUCCUGUAUUAUGUCAAUAAUCUUGAGUCCCUUUAUUUCAUGAAUUAAAAAAAAAGUUAUUUAGGUAACUAAUAAAAAUCAAUUAGGCUGAAACUGAAAUUAGAUUAAACCUAUUGAACUUUUUAUGUACAUCUUUGAAUUUGACAUGAUAGGAAAGAAGAUUAGUAAAGUGGGGAUAUCUAUCAGCUGAAUCUCCAUAUUUUAAAAUAGUUUAAACACUUACAAUGAUACUGCAUUUUCUUUCCCUUAAAAAAAUUCAGUUCAAUAUAUUCUAGAUGUUAUUGCAUAAUAUGAUUUCAUUGCAUUUGAGGUUUGGAUUCUUUGGCUAAGAGAUAUGGUUUCCCUGGAUCAACCCCAAAAUUUGACAAAGGUGAGCAAAUGAACUACAUGGUAAAUUGGUGAAAAUCAAGUCAAGAUGUUAGAAGAUACAUUGGAGCAAAUCAUUUCAGAAAGGCAUUCAGAAUUUGAAUUGGAAACAAAAUAUUAUUUUAGUCGGGCAUUAAGAAAUUUGGAUGAAUUUUGCUCAGGUACAUUGUCUAAUCUCAAUUACUUAUACUACUCUGCUGCACACCCUACAUCGGUGUGAUUAAUAAGGAUCUAUCAGGCUUCAACCACCAUCUCAGUUGUGUUUCUGCUUGACUAGUUAACUGGUUCCAUUGUUUUUAACUGACAUCACACUGAACACGUUAUAGCUUUCCUAAAAACAUCUACAAAAAGUGUUCAGAGUGAACAUCAAUUGCAGUCUGGAUGAGAUGAAAAGGUAAUGAUGGCCAGUGUUCUUCCUAUAGUAUAACAAAAAAAAAAUCUGAUAGCAAUUUGUAUCAGAUGAAGAGCAGCUCCAUAAUUUUCUGUGAUACAUUUUGUAAAAGACAUGUCCAUAUAAAAAUAUUUAAGAUCUUUAAUGGUGACUUGAGAAUGUUCGAAUGCUUGCUUAGUGAGUUUUCAAAAUCUGCAAGUUAUAGAUUUUCAAAAUGGAACCAUGCAGUGUAGUUAAGUAGGAAUGGUUACUAAAUGAUUUCAUUAUACUGAAUUGGAAGUUUUACAUUUUACAUUAAAAAAAAAAUCAAAAAGUAUUGAAUUUCUAACAGUUUUAGUAAUUUAUGCUGUUUACUAAGACAUUUUGUGUGAAGUCCCUUCCUGAUGCAACAUGCUAGUAAUCAUUUAAACAACAGUCAAAAGAGUUCUAAAGUAAAGGAGCAGCACUGGAGAAAAAUCUGAAGCAAAUUAGUGGAGAGGUCACACACAAAAGGAAGCCAGAAAUAUUGGUUUCCUUGAUAUUGCAUGAUAGCAUCCUGCUGAUUCAACAGUGAGUAUAUUCAGAAACUAUUAAGGACAUUCAGUAUGUUGUGAUAUUUCUGUUACUAUAAAAAUAAAUACAUACAAUUUCAUUAGAAUACUGUUCUAUAGUAUUCUGUUUCAUGAGAAGUUGAAAAACCAGUUAACAAGACAGUUGGAAAAAAUUCUGCACUAUAUGAAAGCUUUUUACCAUUUGAUAUAUUUGGGAUUAAAUUCAAAGUUGUUUGCUUUUGUUUGUACAUUGGCAGUGGAGAUGAACAUUGACUGGAAGUAAAGAGCCUGUCUACCUAUCAGAUUAGAGGUUAAUUCAUUUAAUCUCUCUGCGUUGAGUGUAAGUCAUUCUUUAUACAAAUAUGGUCUUAGCACAAAGACAAUUUUAUGCCAACUAAUGGCGAAUGCAUUUGUUUCUCUAGACCUAAUGGAAGAUGUUUUGAGACAGAGAAUGAAGUUGAAAAUGACAAGCAGGGAACUUCAGCUUUUAUAGAACACUUUUGCUUCUUUUUUCAUAAUGUGGAGUUGUAUAUGUGAAUGAAAAUUGUUCUCAUGAAAUAAUUUGGUGAUAUUUGUUAUUGCUGAAUGGUUACAAAGUUCAUUUAACAGCCAUUCUGCAUUCCAUGCCAGUGUGUGCUUGUUACAUGCUUUAUAUUUUGUGAUUUAAAAUUUUGCAAGCGAAAUGGCUACUUGGUGCAAUGAAAGAAAGAAGACAUUAUACUUGAUAAAGUAUGCCAGAGCCAACAUUUGAGUAUGAUAUAAUAAUUUGAUCUGUCAGGUCCUAUCAAACAAUACAACUCGUGGCCAGCUUGGAUUUUGGUUGUUUCUAAGUAAAUGUGAGAGGCAUGUUUGUAUUAGUUUAUCAUUGGCAGAUAAAAUGAGAAGGCCAGUUUUGUGUCUCAGGUAAGCAGGCGUCAUCUUCUAGAUGAAACCUUUUACAUUUUACAUUAAUUCUACUUACAAAUGGUUGUUUGCAACAGUAAUAAAAUUCACCAUAGUUUUGUGCAAGAAUCUGAUGUUUAGUUUUAUAAAAAUAGCGUCAUGGGUCUAUAAUGGCUGCAGGGACAGUUACCUAUAGAGUAGUAGUAAAGAUGUAUUUAGGAAUUUAGUUGCCAAUUUUAAUGUAUUUCCCAAAGAUAUUCACAGGUUGGGGUAAGGUCUAAAUAACUUGUAUUUGUCAAUACAAGUUUGUGCUUUCCUCACAUAGUUUUGCAGUACAGUUAACAUCAGUGUGAAGGGAAAGUUACUAUAAUACCUGAAAUACAACUAGGUAGAUGGCAAAUAGGGACUGUUGAAUAAUGAAAGUAAAUACAGUAAGAUUUCACAAUAUGGCAUGUAGAUUUUUCAUAAAUAUGUUUGUUUCACAAAAGGUAGUGAUAACAGCAUUUUUGGACAGAAACUAGAUAGAGGCGAUAAAGUAUUCGAGGAAAGUUAUUAAUGUAGAAAUACAGGAAUAGAUAUGAAAUGUUUUUAUCAUGUGCUGAACCUUUACAAGGUUCUAUGAUAUGUGCUAAUGUAGAAUGUUAGUGAAAUUGAAUUGAUAUUACAAAUCAGAUGGUAAUUUGUAUGGCACACUGAUCCGUUUUCUCUCAUUGCUUUUUUGCUUUACUUGCAGUGGAAAAGUGUACCCGGGUAAUAAUUAACCAUUUAAAUUUCCCUAAAGAAAAUAUUUUAACAUAUAUUUAAAGUGAAAUAAAAAAAUUGAGAAUAAGUGUGCUUCUCUUUCACGAAGACAAAAGUACUUCGUGUAUGUGCAUGUUUGCAUAUUCACUCAAUUUCAAAGCCACUUUAUUAUGUGUUGAUAGAAGCAAAUUUUACAUGAAAGCAAAAGACUUUUUUUCCUAAAUCAAAAGUGCUAUUGUUUACUAGUUUUGCCAUUAGCAUGUUUCUGAGUCUCCAUCUUUGGCAGAUACAACGAUGACAUGAAGAAUCCUAGUGUCGUUCAGAUAAGUGAACUUCAUUGUAUUUAGUUGAAACUAAUAGCUAUAAUGUGUGUGUGUAUGUUUCUGAGUAUUUUAUUCAUUGACAGACAUGACGAAUGUUGGAAGGAAAUACAAUAUGUAAGAAAUCAGUUCUUUUUUCCCCCAUUUCCUGUCUGUUAACAUCUCAAGAUAUUUGUCGUGUUUACCUGUGCAACUGAUUUAACGCUGAGUGUUUUUUCCCUUCAGCUCUGGUAUUUUUGAGUUUUGAUAUGAAGUGUGUAAGAAUGUUCCCUUGUGAUGACUAUUGAAAUUAAUAAUUGCAGAUCUGUUUGGCUACAUUUAUAUACUUACUUGCAAUGUAGGGAAUCUAAAAUGAAAAUGGUAUGGUAGCUUUUUGAGUAAUUUUAUGGGCAGAGGUUUGGAAAAUGGGCUUUGUUUGUUUCUCACGUGAUAUUUAGAUGAUGAAAUUGGAAAUCGUCUUGAUACGUGUGUCAGAUUGAAGAUAGCGUCUAUGCAAGUUACGAAGUAGGUCAUUUGUUUCCACACAUGAAGGUAAAGAAAAUAUCAUUUGAACAGGUCUGUGUGGGGGUAACGUGUGAAUGUAAAAAUUAAGUCGUUUCUUGUUUGUAGAAAUGACGUCCUUUUACUGUGCAUGCAUAUGUUUGUAUGUUUCUGUCAUUGGCAGAUGUGAUGACAUAAAGAGGUCUGGAUAGGACAAAAGCACUAAGAUAAGCCCUAUUAUUUCAUUUCUGUUUAGUGUAAUUGAGUUGCUUUAAUGCUUUUUCUGUAGAUAUUUGGAGGAAGAUUGUACUAAAUGUAAUGUUUAAAUUUGAUUGUUUCGUAAGCAUGGAAAAUAAUGGAGAUAAGUAACGGCAUAGAUUGUUGAUGAUAUUUUGUGUUGGUUGUGAACUUUUCUCUUCUUAUGUUUUGGAAUUUUUGGAAAAUGCUCUGUAAGUGUUUUCAGUUACCUUAUUACUAUAAUGUUAAGUUUUUAAAAGAUUGAUUGGAAAUAUUUAGGGCCGAACCGUUUGUUGUUUUUUGUAUGUUGUUCUUUGACAGAUGCAAGCCCUCCAGGAAAAGUAGGACCUGCAAUAAGAUAAGAGAAAAGUUUGUUUGUUUGUAGUUAAUAUCCCUUUGUGUUUUAUCUGUUCAUUGUAUGUAUGAAAAACGCUGCUCGUUGUAAGAGGGUCAGUAAUUUGAGUGAUCUCUAAAUUAUUCAUACAUUCUGUUUGCUUUUUAUGAUGCAAUAUUUUCUUAACACACAUAUUUCCGUGUUACAAUUUAUGUUUCAAAAAAAUGUUGUAAUUUGUUGUUGCUUACUACUAUUUCUUCAUUUCAUUUCCAUUUGAUUGCUAGUUAACUAUAUUGUUACUUAAAAUAAUUGUGCUCACUUUCAGCAUAGUGAAACUUUCAUUGAGUUGUUGUUAAUAUGUAGAGCACAGUGUUGCCUGUGUCUUUCUGUUGUUUUUUUGUUUGCUUUCCUUGCAGUGCAAAAAGCUAAAGUUAGUAAAGUAGAGUAAGUAAGCAGUUUCAUUCAUUGUUAUAAAAUGACCUGUAUUGUUGUUUGCAACAUGCUUUCUAUAUUUGACACAAAAUCUGUAGAGAAAAGAGAUGUGUAAUUGGCUUGGAGGAGACUGAAGCAAUGAAAUUCCGGCUGGUAGGACUACAUUUUUGCUUUUUAUGACGCAAUAUUUUCUUAACACAUAUAUUUCCGUGUUACAAUUUAUGUUUGAAAAAAAUGUUGUAAUUUGUUGUUG
This is a long non-coding RNA of Octopus bimaculoides (California two-spot octopus), 14765 nucleotides long. Lineage: Eukaryota; Metazoa; Mollusca; Cephalopoda; Octopoda; Octopodidae. The record is from RefSeq and is a predicted model, not a curated record.